GGGAGUCUCUCUAUGUUUCCCAGGCUGGUCUCAAAAUUUCCAGCUUCAACUUCCUGAUCCUCCUGCCUCAGCCUCCCAAGUAACUGGGAUUACAGGUGUGAGACACCAAACCUGGAGGCCGUCACUGUCUUACUGUUCCAACCAAGUGGCAAAUUGGAAAACUAUUCGGGUGGCAUAUUCAAUUUGCUGCAGAAAUCUACCCUCAAAUUAUCUGUAUCUCACCUAUGUUAGGAAGAAUUUUAAUACAAUAGUAUUGAUUAUCUUUAAAUUUUAAUGUAUUACAGGCAUAUAGUAUGGGGAUUAACUUUAUAGACCUAGCUAAUUGUUUCCUCUUGCUCUGUCCUCCUUUAUGCUCCAUGCUUCUUCAGCUUCUUUUUCCUUGACCCUUUUCUGUCUUACUUUGUCUAUUCCAACCUUUUGCCUUAACAUCUCAAUGUGAAUCAAAUAUACAAAAAAAUCAUGUGCCUAAUACUAUUACCUUGCUUCAACAGAUUAUUUGCUACUUUAUAAAACCAAGCAAAUUGUUUGUCUCACAGUGUAAAGGCAGACUUACCUUCUACUCUUUUUUUAUGAAGUGGGGGUCGUCCUUUCUUAUUCCUUACUGAUGAAGUUUUGCUGCUACUACUUCCACUGUUCACAGACAUUCUAUCAUCUUCACCCCCAGUGACUAAUGAAUUUCUAUAGGAGAUGAGUGGAAGCCAUACAUCUUCCCUCCUUUCCAUCAUCUGCUCGGUUCUGAAGAAUAGCUAAGGACACAUAAUUAAACUGUUAACAAUGGUCACCUUUGGAAAGAGAGGGACUGAGAAGUUAAAGUUUUGCUUCACAAAUUCCUGGGAUACUUAAAAGCAAGAGAAUGUAUUACCUAACGGGUGUUGACAACAGAGAUCUUGGGAGUGCAAAUGAGAGGGUGCUGGUAGUUCUUUGACCCUAGCGGCAACAAAUGAUAGAGCAAAGCAGCCGGAAGUUCAACAGAGAAAACCAGAGAAAGAGACAGCCAAGAAGAACCUUCCUGGAGUCACAGUCAAUCCUGGGAGUUGGACAUGUUAACUAACUGACUGUAGUAAUCAUUUUACAACAUAUAUGUGUAUUGAAACAGCAUAUAUACACCUUAAAUAUAUAUUAUUUUUUAAAAGGAUGGAAAAAAGCUUAAAAAACAAAGUGAUUCUUCAUUUCAAUAGCUCCCUUUGAUUCAUCUGAAUACAGCCUACCAAAUCCUCCACUGUGCAUAUGUAUCUAUAUCUAUAUCUAUAUAUCAGCACUGAAAGAAUGCUUUAUCACCAGUCUUUGAUGGUUAUUAAUAGGUUGCUGAGCUAACUUGGCAUUUCAUAUGUUUCUUCUUAUAUGAAAUAAAGAUAACAUUUUAUUGUUAUUGAUCUGCUUAAGUAAUUGCUACGCUUAAAGUUUAUUUUGUUUAUAGGUUUCAAAUUUUGUGAACUUACCUGUUUAUCCAUUAAGCAUAUUUGGAACAGGUUAAA
Molecule: non-coding RNA, 1475 nt
Organism: Saimiri boliviensis boliviensis (Bolivian squirrel monkey)
Lineage: Eukaryota; Metazoa; Chordata; Mammalia; Primates; Cebidae
Source: RefSeq, a predicted model, not a curated record